This 29-nucleotide non-coding RNA is filed under the name Mus musculus (house mouse). Lineage: Eukaryota; Metazoa; Chordata; Mammalia; Rodentia; Muridae. The record is from RNAcentral.
UGCUGAUGGAGUCUAUUAGGAGAAAUUGC